RNAcentral lists this ribosomal RNA (435 nucleotides) under uncultured bacterium. RNAcentral describes it as "partial 16S ribosomal RNA". It matches the Rfam family "Bacterial small subunit ribosomal RNA", at positions 28 to 507 of the family's 1533-position model. The record is from RNAcentral.
GAUGAACGCUGGCGGUAUGCUUAACACAUGCAAGUCGAACGGACUCUUCGGAGUUAGUGGCGGACGGGUGAGUAACGCGUGAGAAUCUGGCUUUGGGUUCGGGACAACCACUGGAAACGGUGGCUAAUACCGGAUGUGCCGAGAGGUAAAAGAGAAAUUGCCUGAAGAUGAGCUCGCGUCUGAUUAGCUAGUUGGUGAGGUAAAGGCUCACCAAGGCAGCGAUCAGUAGCUGGUCUGAGAGGAUGACCAGCCACACUGGGACUGAGACACGGCCCAGACUCCUACGGGAGGCAGCAGUGGGGAAUUUUCCGCAAUGGGAGAAAGCCUGACGGAGCAAUACCGCGUGAGGGAAGAAGGCUCUUGGGUUGUAAACCUCUUUUCUUAGGGAAGAACAAAAUGACGGUACCUAAGGAAUCAGCAUCGGCUAACUCCGUG